RNAcentral lists this ribosomal RNA (302 nucleotides) under uncultured bacterium. RNAcentral's name for it is "partial 16S ribosomal RNA". It matches the Rfam family "Bacterial small subunit ribosomal RNA", at positions 508 to 807 of the family's 1533-position model. The record is from RNAcentral.
GCAGUAGCCGCGGGAAUACGAAGGGUGCAAGCGUUAUCCGGAAUCAUUGGGUUUAAAGGGUCCGUAGGCGGUCUUGUAAGUCAGUGGUGAAAGCCCAUCGCUCAACGGUGGAACGGCCAUUGAUACUGCAGGACUUGAAUUAUUGGGAAGUAACUAGAAUAUGUAGUGUAGCGGUGAAAUGCUUAGAGAUUACAUGGAAUACCAAUUGCGAAGGCAGGUUACUACCAAUUGAUUGACGCUGAUGGACGAAAGCGUGGGUAGCGAACAGGAUUAGAUACCCGCGUAGUCCCUGUCUCUUAUAC